RNAcentral lists this transfer-messenger RNA (168 nucleotides) under Verrucomicrobiaceae bacterium. Its description in RNAcentral is "partial transfer-messenger RNA". It matches the Rfam family "transfer-messenger RNA", at positions 1 to 179 of the family's 374-position model. Rfam says of the family: Bacterial tmRNA, also known as 10Sa RNA or SsrA, is named for its dual tRNA and mRNA-like properties. Its role is to liberate the mRNA from a stalled ribosome. To accomplish this part of the tmRNA is used as a reading frame that ends in a translation stop signal. The record is from RNAcentral. Lineage: Bacteria; Pseudomonadati; Verrucomicrobiota; Verrucomicrobiia; Verrucomicrobiales; Verrucomicrobiaceae.
GGGGGCGUACUGGUUUCGACGGGUACUCUGAGUUCGGAGCUGCAUGCCGAGGAUGAUUCGUUGGCCUCGUUAAAAUCGCGGAUCAAAAACAUAAAUGUGAACUCUAACGAGCUCGCUCUCGCGGCUUAAGCCCCGCGACGUCACGCAGGCGAUGUCUGGUAGCCUGCC